RNAcentral lists this ribosomal RNA (451 nucleotides) under uncultured bacterium. RNAcentral's name for it is "bacterial SSU rRNA". It matches the Rfam family "Bacterial small subunit ribosomal RNA", at positions 397 to 872 of the family's 1533-position model. The record is from RNAcentral.
CCGCGUGGAGGAUGCACAUUUCGGUGCGUAACUCCUUUUAUAUAGGAAAAUAAUGACGGUACUAUAUGAAUAAGCACCGGCUAACUCCGUGCCAGCAGCCGCGGUAAUACGGAGGGUGCAAGCGUUGCUCGGAAUCACUGGGCGUAAAGAGCGUGUAGGCGGAUAUAUAAGUCAGAAGUGAAAUCCAAUAGCUUAACUAUUGAACUGCUUUUGAAACUGUAUAUCUAGAAUGUGGGAGAGGUAGAUGGAAUUUCUGGUGUAGGGGUAAAAUCCGUAGAGAUCAGAAGGAAUACCGAUUGCGAAGGCGAUCUACUGGAACAUUAUUGACGCUGAGACGCGAAAGCGUGGGGAGCAAACAGGAUUAGAUACCUGGUAGUCCACGCCCUAAACGAUGCACACUANUUGUUGUGAGCUAGACUUGCAGUAAUGCAGUUACACAUUAAUGUGCCGC